GAUGAACGCUGGCGGCGUGCCUAAUACAUGCAAGUCGAGCGAACGGACGAGAAGCUUGCUUCUCUGAUGUUAGCGGCGGACGGGUGGGUAACACGUGGAUAACCUACCUAUAAGACUGGGAUAACUUCGGGAAACCGGAGCUAAUACCGGAUGAUAUUUUGAACCGCAUGGUUCAAAAGUGAAAGACGGUCUUGCUGUCACUUAUAGAUGGAUCCGCGCUGCAUUAGCUAGUUGGUAAGGUAACGGCUUACCAAGGCAACGAUGCAUAGCCGACCUGAGAGGGGGAUCGGCCGCACUGGAACUGAGACACGGUCCAGACUCCUACGGUAGGCAGCAGUAGGGAAUCGUCCGCAGUGGGCGGAAGCCUGACGGAGCAACGCCGCGUGAGUGAUGAAAGUCUUCGGAUCGUAAAACUCUGUUAUUAGGGAAGAACAUAUGUGUAAGUAACUGUGCACAUCUUGACGGUACCUAAUCAGAAAGCCACGGCUAACUACGUG
This 497-nucleotide ribosomal RNA is filed under the name uncultured bacterium. Its description in RNAcentral is "partial 16S ribosomal RNA". It matches the Rfam family "Bacterial small subunit ribosomal RNA", at positions 28 to 507 of the family's 1533-position model. The record is from RNAcentral.